UUUGCUCUUUCACAUCACCUGUCCACCUUGGGUGGUUUUCAUUAUUAAAACCAUAGAGUCCAUGGUUUUCAUAAUUAAAACCAUCAACUUUUGACCUUGGAUUUGAUAUCCUAGUCCGCAACACUUUCUUCACAGCUUCUCUCUCUCUCAUCCACUACAUUUGAAAUGUUUAUCUUUCUCUCUCUAUACUUCAAUAUCAAUUGCAUGAUGAAAGGAUUAUCAUUGUUCUCCAUCAUCUUCUCCACCUAAUUCCCCAUCUUCUUGCCCUGCAAAAUUUCCCAAAACCUAGUCUAGCGCAGAAAAGAUCCUUGAAAACGUUGCCAACUCCGGUGAAGAAAUCCGAAGAGUCCAGAUUCGGAAGGUUGCGGAUGAGGACCCAAUCCACCGUAAGAUCUUCUUCCAUGGUCUCGGAUGGGACACCAACGCCGAAACCUUAACCAAUGUGUUUAAGGAAUUGCUCAUUUUGAUGGGUCUGAGGGUGGGUUGCAAAGAGAGGCGCAGAUCUUGGCAGCUGCGACGACGGAGCCUCGGCUGCAUUUGCGACGAUUGAGCAUCGGCGAUAUUAUCAAUAAUAUCACGAUAUAUUGACGAUAAUUAAGUGGAUAAGUGUGAAAAUAUUACCCUCUAAAAAAACUAUAUUUCGCUGAUAAUAUCGAUAUUUUAGACCUUGA
Malus domestica (apple) is the source of this 671-nucleotide non-coding RNA. The record is from RefSeq and is a predicted model, not a curated record. NCBI's taxonomy places the organism in Eukaryota, Viridiplantae, Streptophyta, Magnoliopsida, Rosales, Rosaceae.